Molecule: ribosomal RNA, 497 nt
Filed under: uncultured bacterium
Lineage: Bacteria
Description: partial 16S ribosomal RNA
Rfam family: Bacterial small subunit ribosomal RNA
Source: RNAcentral
GAUGAACGCUGGCGGCGUGCCUAAUACAUGCAAGUCGAGCGAACGGACGAGAAGCUUGCUUCUCUGAUGUUAGCGGCGGACGGGUGAGUAACACGUGGAUAACCUACCUAUAAGACUGGGAUAACUUCGGGAAACCGGAGCUAAUACCGGAUAAUAUUUUGAACCGCAUGGUUCAAAAGUGAAAGACGGUCUUGCUGUCACUUAUAGAUGGAUCCGCGCUGCAUUAGCUAGUUGGUAAGGUAACGGCUUACCAAGGCAACGAUGCAUAGCCGACCUGAGAGGGUGAUCGGCCACACUGGAACUGAGACACGGUCCAGACUCCUACGGGAGGCAGCAGUAGGGAAUCUUCCGCAAUGGGCGAAAGCCUGACGGAGCAAAGCCGCGUGAGUGAUGAAGGUCUUCGGAUCGUAAAACUCUGUUAUUAGGGAAGAACAUAUGUGUAAGUAACUGUGCACAUCUUGACGGUACCUAAUCAGAAAGCCACGGCUAACUACGUG